Molecule: long non-coding RNA, 506 nt
Organism: Nymphalis io (European peacock)
Lineage: Eukaryota; Metazoa; Arthropoda; Insecta; Lepidoptera; Nymphalidae
Exons: 2
Source: RefSeq, a predicted model, not a curated record
GUAACAUUUUGACGUAUAACCUCACAAACAGUUAUUGUUCUUUUUGUUCAUAUUUUUAUUAUACUUUCAAAAAAUGGACGAAAAACCCAUUGAUACUAAUCUUAAUAAGAAAAGGCAUAUGAAAAAGUGUAGAAAUCUCUUAUCAAAUGCUAAGAAAUAUAGAAAAGAAGGUUAAAUGGGACGCGGCUCGAAAAUACUGCAAAACUUUAUCAAUAUUUUGUUGGAAUUCUGGAAAUUAAAAGCAAGGAAUUGAAGAUUCUGACGAACGAAAGAUUUUCAGAAGGUAGCAUUGUCUCAGUAUGGUUCUAGAGUCUCAGCAAAUCUUUGAAGCAUUGUCUCCAGAGCAGAAGGUCAAAAUAAUGACAGAGCUAUCAGAUGAGAGUAACUUAUUGAACAGCAACAACACAGCAGGCUGAUAGCAGUCAAGCUGAACCUCAACACAUUGUGUCACCGAAGAGGUGGGAAGAGGCAGGAAGAGAAUUGAUAAAUAUAUGAUUUGUAUCAUU